CAGUGCUUGAUGUUUUACCUAUUAUAAUAGUUAAGCUCACUGAUCCUACUGAAAUACUUAUGUCACUGAUCUUCUCUUCCGGGUGUUCAACAACUAAAGUUUGGAGACUAAAACUAGAAAAGUAACUGGGCUAUGAGGACGGCCAAUAUUUUGGCCCUGGCCCCUCAAGGUCAAUAAAGAAUCCAGGACAUGAGAGAACCUUUUCUACAGGAUCCUACAUCUUUGAGGCUGCCAAACUCCAAGCAGUUGUACAAAUGGAACCAAUGACAAAUGUGCUAGACUUCUUUUACUGGGAUUCAGAAGAUCGACCUUGUAAACAGCUCAUAACUGCUAAACUAUACAAUACGACUCCUAUGUUGGAUUCUGAAGUCCCCUGGACCUUCUCCUUAUCCUCUUUGUGGGAGGCUACCACUAGUUUCUCCUGGUGGAAACCAUUGUUGGCUAUAUUCAUAGCAAUCCUGCUGACCUUAUAAUUUGGCCCAUGUAUUAACUGUUUCUUUGGCUUUGUCUCCUCCAGACUCAAAGCUAUAUGGCUACCAAGAUGACAAUGCCUGGCACCUACUGAAGGCCUUUAGAUAGACCCUCUGUAGAGUAAUUCUGACUGCUGAUCACAACUACGACCCUCUUCAGGCAGAGGUAGCCACAUUGGUCUUUGUCCUUUGCCCCCUCACAGCAGUUAGGGGUACUUCUUCAGAGGGAAGAAUAAUGCAGAUAGGUAAGUUAAUUAGAUAUCUUGUAGGCAGGUAGACAGGGCCUCCCUUAAGGCACCAGCCCUCCAGGAGCCAACACAGCAAGGAGCCAACAUGGAGAGCAAUUGAGACACAUUCACUGGUUAGCAUUAUAAAAAGGAAAAAAAGUACUACUUCCCCCAGAGAUAGAUAGCAGUGAUUGAUACUCUAAAUGGAAAAUUCCUUAUAUGUGAUUUGUGUUCCCAUUUAAUCCCCAUUUAAUCAAUAUUACCUGGGUGACUGUACUUCUAAUAUUAUUGGUUGGUCGUGGUUUUGUCCCACCUCAUGCCCACUUUGUAAAUUUCCAUUGGGUCUUAUAGUUUUCUCCCACUUUGUACCCACCUCACCACAUGGCUUUGCUGUAUAAAACAUCUUUGAACCAUGGGGUGGGUGGGCAGCCCACCUUCCGGUCCCCCUUCUGACUCUCUUAUGCAGAAGCUUUCUUUCUCUCAAUAAAUUUUUCCUACUCUUAAAAAAAAUAAGUGAGAUCUUUUGUGCUUCAAAUGGUACCAUCAAGGAAGCUAAAAAGAUAAAUCAUAAUGAGAGAAAAUAUUUGUAAAUCAUAUAACUGAUAAAAGAUAUCUUAGUCCAUCCCUGGUACUAUAACAAAAUACCUCAAACUGGUACUGUGUAAGGAAUAGAAAUUUAUUUCUCACAGUUCUGGAGUCUAGAAAGUCCAAGGUCAAGGUGUCUGCAGAUUUUGCGUCUGGUGAAGUUUCAUGUGCUGGUUCUAAAAUGGUAUCUAGUUACUGUCCUCACAUGAUGGAAAGCAGAAUGGCAAAAAUGAACUAUGUCUCUCCCUUGUGCACUUGUAUAAGGGCACUAAUCCUAUGCAUGAGAGUGGAGCUUAAGCUUAAUUAAGUUUAGGCUUAAUUGUCUUCCAAGGGCCCUAUGCCUUAAUAUUCUCACUGAAAUUCCAGCACACAAACGAUAAUGAGAGACUGAUAACCAAAGUAAAUGAAGAACACUUACAACUCAGUAAUAAAAAGACAGGGCCAGGAAUUUAGCUCAGUGGCACCACACCUGCCUGGCAAGCACAAGGUCCUGGGUUCGAUCCCCAGUACAAAAAUAAAUAAUAAUAAUAAUAAUAAUAAUAAUAAUAAUAAGACAACCCAAUUUUAAAAGUAGUCAAAGGGUCUGAAAAAAAUUUCUCCAAAGAAGAUAUACCAACAGACAGAAAUAUAUGAGAUGUUCAAAAUUAUUUCUUAUUAAGUGAACACAAAUUAAAUUCACAGUGAGAUACCAUUUAGUGCACACUAAGAUGAAUAAAAUCAGGAUAGACAAUAGCAAUUGUUGGUGAAGAUGUGGAGAAAUUGGAAUCCUCAUACACUGCUGGUAGGAAUACAAAAUAGCGUAGCACCUUUGGAAAAGUGUUCCUUAAAAGGUUGAAAUAGAGCUACCACAUGAGUCAGUAAUUCUACUCUGAAGUUAUAUCAAGAGAGGUUAAAAUAUGUGCCAAAAAAAUAGGAUAUAAGGUACAUGAAUAUUCACAGCAGCAUUAUUUAUUAAGUCCAAAAAGUAGGAGAAAAAAACACCACAAAUGUCCAUUAACCAAUGAAUGGACUCAUACAGUGGAAUAUCAACCAGCCACAACAAGGAAGGAAAUAGUAGGACAUGCAAUAACAUGGAUAAACCUUGAAAACACACUUCAUGAAAAAUGUCUGACACAAAAGGCCAUGAAUUACAUGAUUCUAUUUAUAUGAAAUCUCUUGAAUAGUCAAUUUUUUUUAUGGUACCAGGAAUUGAACUCAGGGCCUCAUGGUUGCCAGGCAGCCACUGUACCAUGGAGCUACAUCCCAACCCCUUGAAUAGUCAAAUUUAGAGAGAGAGAAAGUACAUUAGUGACUGCCAGAGGCCAGGAAAAAUGGAGGCUGUGGAGUGAUCGAUAACAGUGUUUCUUUUUGAGGUGUGAUGAAUAUGUUCUAACUUCAGACAGUAGUGGCAGUUAUACAAUUCUGUGAAUAUACUAAAAACCACUGAAUUGUAUAGUUUAAAAGAGUGAAUCAUGUGGUACACAUAUGAAACAGUUACCGUGUUUACCUGAAAAUAAUCACUGUUCUCUUGCUCAGUGGCUCCUCUGCAAGGCAGGUAAGGCAAAGAUAGGCUGACUGGGGCUGGGACUUUUGAUCUCUAGUUUUCUCUUUUUUUUUUUUCUCUCAGUACCUGGGAUGAAACUCAGGACCUUACACUUGCAAGGCAGGUGCAGUGCCACUGAGCUAAAUCCCCGGCUGAUCUGUAGUUUUCAAGACUGAUUAUUUUCUGACUAGGUCUUAUUUUUUCAGGGAAAGGAGUAUUAAAAAAAUAAAAAUUGUUUUGGGGACAACUCAAAAUGAGCUACUUCUCAAACUUAUUUUUGUAGAUUUAUGCAUCUUUGAACUAGAAAGAACUUUAGCAAUCUUGUUUUUAUUUCUGUUUGAGAAAAAACAACCAGUGAACUGUCUCACUUUGACUAAUGAAACAUAUCAUAUAAAUUCUCCUAACCUUCCUAUAAAGAUCAGAGGAAGCAAUAUGAGACAAUGUGCUUUGGAAACAGCUAGCCCUGUAAAUAUAUUGUAUUAUAGUGUUGUCAUAUUUUACAAUGUUACAGGCCAUAAAAAAGUAGAAGUAUGUGCCUUUGAAUUUUGGCUCCCUCCACUAGCUCUCCAUGCAGCUUUAAAAGAAUUUCAUGUCAUCUCUUCUCCAUACUUUAAAAGGGAUUAGAAUAUUAUAUGAGAAGAUUUAAAAGCAUUUGGAAAAAGCCCUGCUUCCUGAAAGUCUUCACUGAUUGAACUUGCUUCGAAAGGCCAUUUGUUCCCUCUUUUCUUUCAUCCUCCAGCUGCCUCUCAAAAACAGGAGGGGAAAGAAUCGAUGUUUUCUAUUUUAGUGCUGUCAAAGGCUAUAGCCAAACAGCUAAAAGCAGAUGACAGUGAUAUGGAGAUAUUUGCUUCUUGAGCUAUUGAAUGAAUAUUAAAGGAAUGAUCAAGAUAUCUUUUCCUACAUGAGCUUUUAAUGUUGAAACAAAAAUAGUGUAAGUGACACAUUUGCAAAGAAUUCUACAACACUGGAAAAAUAAUUGAACAUUAAAAUUGAGAAGAACAGCUAUGGAAAUAGGUGUAUGUGUUCCAAAUGGAAUAGAAGGGGAAAAAUGAGAUCACAAGUUAAAUACUCAAUUAUUAGGGGGAAAAAACCAUAACUUUGCAGUUCUUUAUCAUUCUAGGCAAUUUUUCUGGCAAGAUUACCAAAGUAAAAUGCUAGAUAAACCAGUUUCCAACAUUUCAGUCUAAAAGAAACUUCAAGAUGUCAGUGAAUUUGCCUUAAGCUGCUCAAAAUCUUCUUCAGGCUACAGAUCUAACAACAGUUGUUCAGAGGUGUUUAUUUUCCCUUAUUUUUAGUUCUUAAUCCAUUUCUGCUACUAUAACAAAAUACCCUAGACUGGGUGAUUUAUAAAGAAAGAAAUUUAUUUCUUACAGGUUUAGAAGCUGGAAAGUCCAAAGUCACAAGUUUGGUGUCUGGUGAAGCCUCCCUCUCUGCCUGUAAGAUGGUGCCUUGUCCUCUAGGGGCAGGUGAACACUGAGACCCCACAUUAGGGAAGGCAUGGAAGAGCAAAGGGCUAGUUCCCUCCACUCCCUUUAUAAGGGCAUUAAUCCAAUCCAAGGGCAGAGCCCUCCUGGCCUAAUUGUGUCCUACAGGCCUACAUCUUAAUAUUGUCAUACUAGGAAUUGCUUCAGUUUGAACUAUAGAGAGGACCCAAACAUUCAAACAAUAGCACAGUUUUUCUGUUUUUACACUGAGAAUAAAAUAUCCAGAAACUGAACUCUCUAGCUGCACCUGGUGGAAGGAUUAAUCAAACAUUUUAUGUCACCAGUAUAAUGUAGCUAUCAUUUAUAAAAUGCAGCCAUCAACAUAAUGGCUGGUUGGAUGCUGGAAUGAUUGUUUGCAAAAAGAUAGGGAACGUUUCCCAGAGGAGUGGAUAGUUUAAACCCAUAAUAGGGUAAGUAUAGGAUCUAGCUAGAUGAAGAAACAGGUUUUAGGGAAGCCCCCUGGGAAGAGGAGUCCAGAACUACCAGAAAGAACCAAAUCAUGCAGAGCCUUUUGACUCUACAAAGCAAUUUGGACUUUAUUCUGUGGGGUAGGGUUUGCAGGACCAUUGAAGAGUUUACCACUAGGUUAGACAAUGUGCUAAUUCCAUAGCAUCACCUCUUCUGAAAUACCUAUCAUUUCAGCCAGACUUUAUGAGCUAUUUCAAAGUGAGAUAUUUCUCACUAGAAACUUUAAAAAUGUAACUAUCAGACAAUUAUGCUGUAAUCCAUUUCUCUGUAGCUUAUUACCCUCAGACCUGCUUGCUGUCUGUGUUAUAGAUGCUUAUUUGUUUUGUCUUUGUGUCUGUGUGUGUAUGUAUGUGUGUGCCUGUUUCUGUUUAUAAAGUUACUCUAUUGCUACAUUUAUAAAAAUCAUUUUAGAAGCUAAUAAUCAGACUCCAAUUAGUUGGUGACAUAAUAGAUUAUUCAUUAAGUAUACCCACCAUUUUUCAUCCAAGUAAAUUCUAGCCAGAUCCAUACUAUGGCUUUAAAAAUUAGUCUUUUAGAAAAAGGAAACAGGUGAUUUAGGUAAACCAAAACAUCAAAGCUUCUUCCUUAAUACAAGGAAGAGGAAAUUGGUUACAAUAUGACAAUAUGUUGGGAAUCCUACCAAUCUUAGUUCCCAGAUCAAGUGACAAUAUUUGCACACUAUUUAUUUAGAAGAAGAGUAAAUAAUCACCCACACCUGGCCUAUCCCCUGGGCUACAUUCUAAGAUAGUUUUGGUGACACUGAGCCUAUAGAGGACAGGGCUGAGCUGUAGGUUAUGGGUUUCUGAUUAUAUGGAAGUCUUGCUAAUAGGAUUACUCCACAACAAACAUUUUCACCACGUAAAUCCUCCUUUGUCAUGACAGUGUUUUGUUCUAAACUUCCAGGCACUUAUUGAAAGCUACGAGAAGGGAGCCAGAGGCCCACCCAGAUUCCUUCAGUAAGAGCGAGCAGAUCCCUGUGAGAAGCCUACAUGGACCAGAGCUGCACUGGUGUGCACAGGUCCCAGCCAGGGCCCCACCCAGACCCCAGUAGCUUGAGCCCAUAGGCUCCAACUAAAGACCUGCUUUGAAAAGAGCUAUGCAGGCAAGGAAGCAACAGCCAGAGGCCCACCCAGAUAAUACUGCUAAGUGUGUACAGACCCCAGCUAGAAGCCCACUCAGACCAGCGACUUGGGUACAUGAUUCCCAGCCAAAGGCCCUCCUGGACAACAGCUACGCAGGGAGGCAGGCCCCAGCCAGAGGCAGGCCCAGAUACCAUCCCAAGUGUGCACAGGCCCCAGCCAGAACCCUGCCCAGACAACAGGGCACCCUAGGGAUCCAGAAGGCCACCAUUAUGAACCCAGGAAUUGCCACAGUGGUAAACAGCAGAAAAAAGGCCUUUCAGUGGCUUGCUGAGAAAUGAAAACCACUAGACAAGCAAAAAGUCACCUCAUCAAAGGUGUAACAGGCUGUAUCUGUGAAAUAAGAAGACACCUAAACAAGUCUCAAAACCAGACUUCCAGAUCACCUAAGGCAACCUCAAAGGGCAACGACAUGGAACAAUCUGAUACUCAACCACUUGGAGUCCCUGAACUGCCAACAAAAGAGAAUUCAGAAAAAAUGAAAUCAGAAAUAAUUUCUCAGAUAACAUCAAAGAUUGUGUCCAUAGUGCAAGAAAUGAUUAAUAACUUUAGAGCAGACACAGAUAAAAAAAAUAGAGGACCUGAGAAAUAAGCUGGAAUCCCAGCAUAGGAAAUAAAUGGAAUCCAUAAAACAAAUGCAAACAGAUUUCCAGGAGAUUAAAAACAUUGAUAAUUUAUGCAGCAGAAUGAGCCAAUGUGAGGACAGAAUAUCAGAUAUAGAAGACAGGAUUAAAAUUAGUGACCAGGAAAAAAAAAAUUUCUUAAAAAUAGUAAGGGACCAUGAGAAAUCAAUCCAGCAGCUGCUAGAUAUGCAAAGAAGUCAAUGAAGAAACAGAAGAGAGUACAAAUGACUUAAAAAAAACUGUUCACAGAAGUGAUGGCAGAAAACUUCCCAAGCAGGACAAAAGAACUUGACAUACAGAUAAGUGAGGCAUAUAGGACUCCAACUAGCCAGGAUCAAAAAAACCUACACCUAGACAUAUAAUAGUUCAGAUUCCAGAAACCCAACAGAAGAAUAAAAUUCUACAAGCAGUUAGAGAAACAAAUCACAUACAAAGGAAAGCCCAACAGAAUCACAGCAGACUUCUCAACACAAGCCCUCAAGGCAAGAAGACCCUGGAGUAAAGUAUUUCAAGCCCUAAAAGAAAACAACCUCCAACCCAGAUUGAUGUAACCUCCAAAACUAUCUUUCAAAAUCAAUGUAUAAAUAAGAUACUUUCAUGACAAAGAGCACCUGAGGAACUUCAUGAAUACCAAACCAGCACUCGAAAAAAUUUUAGAAAAUAUCCUAGGAAAAGACACCGAGAAUCACAACCCCAGGAAGCCCAGUAGAAUGAAUCCAUCAGGCACGACAAAAAAUUAAAUGCAAAGCGUGAGAAUCCAACAAAAAGAAAAAGUCAUGACAAGGAUAAGUCAAUACAUAUCAGUUAUAACCAUCAGUGUUAAUGGUCUCAAUUCACCAAUCAAAAGCUAACAGAAGGAAAAGAGAAACUACUCAAAACCUACUCUCAUUUAUCAGAAAGAACAAAAUCUCACUACAUACUAGACUGCACCUGCAUAUUAUAGCUUUAUUUUGAUUUUAUAAUAACAUACUUGUCACUACUUGAAAACACCUCCAAGACCAAUAAACAGUAAAGUCACAGGAACAAUCUACUCCUGACACUGUUUUAAACAACUUUGAUUGGGCAAUAAACUCAGUCAUUUGUACUUGUUAUCCACAGAACUAUUGUUUUCAUUUUUGUCUUGCUCUUCUGACACUCAGCUAUAACACCUCACUGAAAAUACGGGUAUAUUAGCAGCUGUCCACUGCAAUUUGGAAGGGAG
This 7719-nucleotide long non-coding RNA is filed under the name Heterocephalus glaber (naked mole-rat). RNAcentral describes it as "lncRNA (ENSHGLG00000045220.1)". The record is from RNAcentral. Lineage: Eukaryota; Metazoa; Chordata; Mammalia; Rodentia; Bathyergidae.